UCACCGGGCUGCAAUCCUUGUCA
Molecule: microRNA, 23 nt
Filed under: Ascaris suum (pig roundworm)
Lineage: Eukaryota; Metazoa; Nematoda; Chromadorea; Rhabditida; Ascarididae
Description: asu-miR-36f-3p
Gene: asu-miR-36f-3p
Source: miRBase by way of RNAcentral